GCUCAAGGAACUGAAAUCAUCAUGUCCUGAGCUACAUGCCCUGUGCAAGGUCUCUGGCUUAGCACACAGAAAACUCAGAGGAAUCGUAAUUCAGUGAUUCUUGCCAUCUGCAAGCCUGUGGAAUUCAGGUGCCCACAGGAAGGAAUGGAGAGGUUUUUCCAGCCUGACCGUAUCAGCCGUCUCACCACAAGAACCUUCUGUUUUGGCUGUCGUCCCUCUAUCAGACUCAGGCUGUUCCUUAUGGCCAACUAUGAUGUUUCACGUCCUCCUUCUUAAUCUACUGUCUAUCUGGAGACCGUUUCCAACCACUGAGAGUAACAAGGCUUUCAUGUUGAAGCAUAAAACAAAACUGAAGAGGUACACCAAAAACAGAAAUGUUUUCAGAAAAUUUGAAAGCAAACAAAAUACAAAUGCUGAGUAAAGAAAGUAAGUCACAGAGGAAUGCCUACAGCACAAUCUCCUUUAUAAGAAAUUCGAGGUAAGUAACAUACUGUCUUGGGAACCUUCACGGGGU
Molecule: long non-coding RNA, 514 nt
Filed under: Saimiri boliviensis boliviensis (Bolivian squirrel monkey)
Lineage: Eukaryota; Metazoa; Chordata; Mammalia; Primates; Cebidae
Description: lncRNA (ENSSBOG00000036629.1)
Source: RNAcentral